RNAcentral lists this ribosomal RNA (424 nucleotides) under Brucella anthropi. RNAcentral's name for it is "bacterial SSU rRNA". It matches the Rfam family "Bacterial small subunit ribosomal RNA", at positions 30 to 500 of the family's 1533-position model. The record is from RNAcentral. Lineage: Bacteria; Pseudomonadati; Pseudomonadota; Alphaproteobacteria; Hyphomicrobiales; Brucellaceae.
CGAACGCUGGCGGCAGGCUUAACACAUGCAAGUCGAGCGCCCCGCAAGGGGAGCGGCAGACGGGUGAGUAACGCGUGGGAACGUACCUUUUGCUACGGAAUAACUCAGGGAAACUUGUGCUAAUACCGUAUGUGCCCUUCGGGGGAAAGAUUUAUCGGCAAAGGAUCGGCCCGCGUUGGAUUAGCUAGUUGGUGAGGUAAAGGCUCACCAAGGCGACGAUCCAUAGCUGGUCUGAGAGGAUGAUCAGCCACACUGGGACUGAGACACGGCCCAGACUCCUACGGGAGGCAGCAGUGGGGAAUAUUGGACAAUGGGCGCAAGCCUGAUCCAGCCAUGCCGCGUGAGUGAUGAAGGCCCUAGGGUUGUAAAGCUCUUUACACCCGGUGAAGAUAAUGACGGUAACCGGAGAAGAAGCCCCGGCUAA